GCGGGAAUAGCUCAGUUGGUAGAGCACAACCUUGCCAAGGUUGGGGUCGCGAGUUCGAGCCUCGUUUCCCGCU
Pasteurella bettyae is the source of this 73-nucleotide transfer RNA. It matches the Rfam family "tRNA". Rfam says of the family: Transfer RNA (tRNA) molecules are approximately 80 nucleotides in length. Their secondary structure includes four short double-helical elements and three loops (D, anti-codon, and T loops). Further hydrogen bonds mediate the characteristic L-shaped molecular structure. tRNAs have two regions of fundamental functional importance: the anti-codon, which is responsible for specific mRNA codon recognition, and the 3' end, to which the tRNAs corresponding amino acid is attached (by aminoacyl-tRNA synthetases). tRNAs cope with the degeneracy of the genetic code in two manners: having more than one tRNA (with a specific anti-codon) for a particular amino acid; and 'wobble' base-pairing, i.e. permitting non-standard base-pairing at the 3rd anti-codon position. NCBI's taxonomy places the organism in Bacteria, Pseudomonadati, Pseudomonadota, Gammaproteobacteria, Pasteurellales, Pasteurellaceae. The record is from Rfam.